UACGUAGGAGGCAAGCGUUGUCCGGAAUUACUGGGCGUAAAGCGCGUGUAGGUGGUGGGACAAGUCUGCUGUGAAAGCGCCUGGCUUAACCGGGCGAGGUCGGCGGAAACUGUCCGACUAGAGGACGGUAGAGGGGGGUGGAAUUCCCGGUGUAGUGGUGAAAUGCGUAGAGAUCGGGAGGAACACCUGUGGCGAAGGCGGCCCCCUGGGCCGGGCCUGACACUGAGACGCGAGGGCGUGGGGAGCGAACGGG
RNAcentral lists this ribosomal RNA (253 nucleotides) under uncultured bacterium. RNAcentral's name for it is "partial 16S ribosomal RNA". It matches the Rfam family "Bacterial small subunit ribosomal RNA", at positions 524 to 776 of the family's 1533-position model. The record is from RNAcentral.